RNAcentral lists this ribosomal RNA (234 nucleotides) under uncultured bacterium. RNAcentral's name for it is "partial 16S ribosomal RNA". It matches the Rfam family "Bacterial small subunit ribosomal RNA", at positions 102 to 334 of the family's 1533-position model. The record is from RNAcentral.
UGGCGACGGGUGAGUAAUGUCUGGGAAACUGCCUGGUGGAGGGGGAUAACUACUGGAAACGGUAGCUAAUACCGCAUAACGUCGCAAGACCAAAGAGGGGGACCUUCGGGCCUCUUGCCAUCGGAUGUGCCCAGAUGGGAUUAGCUAGUAGGUGGGGUAACGGCUCACCUAGGCGACGAUCCCUAGCUGGUCUGAGAGGAUGACCAGCCACACUGGAACUGAGACACGGUCCAG